RNAcentral lists this ribosomal RNA (380 nucleotides) under uncultured eukaryote. Its description in RNAcentral is "partial 18S ribosomal RNA". It matches the Rfam family "Eukaryotic small subunit ribosomal RNA", at positions 592 to 976 of the family's 1831-position model. The record is from RNAcentral.
CAAUAGCGUAUAUUAAAGUUGUUGCGGUUAAAAAGCUCGUAGUUGGAGUUCUGCCAGGUGCCGCCUGUCCGCCCCAGUGGUGAGUACGUGGCGCGCAUUUGGCCCUUUCAAGGGGAGCGUAUCUGCACUUUAUUGUGUGGUGCGGGAUCCUUGACUUUUACUUUGAGGAAAUAGGAGUGUUCCAAGCAGGCUCUCGUCGUGCACAGCUCAGCAUGGAAUAAUAGCAUUGGACCUCGAUUCUAAGCUGUUGGUUGCCAGAAGCGAGGUAAUGAUGAAGAGGGAUAGUUGGGGGCAUUCGUAUUUAACUGUCAGAGGUGAAAUUCUUGGUUUUGUUAAAGACGGACUACUGCGAAAGCAUCUGCCAUGGAUGUUUUCAUUGA